Oncorhynchus keta (chum salmon) is the source of this 258-nucleotide long non-coding RNA. RefSeq lists it as uncharacterized. The transcript is spliced from 4 exons. Lineage: Eukaryota; Metazoa; Chordata; Actinopteri; Salmoniformes; Salmonidae. The record is from RefSeq and is a predicted model, not a curated record.
GAUCAGGGAUAUUGUGUCUGCGUAUUGAAACAGGUACGAUCAGGGAUUUUGUGUCUGCGUAUUGAAACAGGUAAGAUCAGGGAUAUUGUGUCUGCGUAUUGAAACAGGUAAGAUCAGGGAUAUUGUGUCUGCGUAUUGAAACAGGUAAGAUCAGGGAUAUUGUGUCUGCGUAUUGAAACAGGUAAGAUCAGGGAUAUUGUGUCUGCGUAUUGAAACAGGUACGAUCAGGGAUAUUGUGUCUGCGUAUUGAAACAGGUA